This 2312-nucleotide long non-coding RNA is filed under the name Gopherus agassizii (Agassiz's desert tortoise). Its description in RNAcentral is "lncRNA (ENSGAGG00000024489.1)". The record is from RNAcentral. Lineage: Eukaryota; Metazoa; Chordata; Testudines; Testudinidae.
GUCCCGCCGAGCUCCCCCAUAAGAUCUGGGGUUGAGCUAUUGGUCCCAUCGACGCCAGAGACCUUCGCCUCGGCACGGGACCUCAUUGCCCUGACUGAGUCAACUCAGCCUCCACCCCCGGUACCUCCGGUGCGGGUAGCGUCCAGGGGCAAACCUAUGAUGACAGCGCCGUCUCGGGACUCACGCUCGCUGUCGAGGUCCCGACACCAUGGUCGCUCAAGAUCCCGCCGCCGCUCGCAGUCCCGGCACCGCUCCCCUCGGCGGUACCGGUCGUACUCGCGGCACCGAUCGGCCUCCAGACGGUCACGGUCUGGUUCCAGCCACCGAUACCGGCACCGGGACUCUAGGAGCCAGUCCCGCCGCCGAUCAGCGCACCGGUCGACCUCCCGGCACCGAGCUGGUGGCAGGUCCCGGUCCCGGUCGACCUCCCGACACCGCGUCGGUGGCAGGUCCCGGUCCCGAUCCCGGCACCGAGUCCAAGACAGACCCCGGUCCCGAUCCCGGCACCGGUAUGACUCCCGGUACCGGUCCCCGGCACCGAGAACAUCUUCGGCGCCAGGACGCGGAGACUCUUACCAGCCGCGGUCGGCCCCUCCAUGGCCUUCCAGACAGCCGUCGGUGUCAUCGCAGGCGGACAGUGUAUACGCGCUGGGCACUGACAGACAAGCGGCGCUUUUUCAAGACCCUCCGCAACAGGACCAGGGUCCGCAGCAGUGGGGGUUCUGGACACCCUGGGCGUACCAUCAAGCCCAGGGCCCCCAACAGCUUCCUCCUAGGCCUGCAACGGCAGAGCACAGGGCGCCGGAGGCGUCGUUGUCUCGCCCCCCUCCCUCCCCGGACGGGGAGGACGGGUCAAAGCAACAGGACCCUGAUCUCCCUCCUGAGCCAGAGGCGAGGGCUGAGGCGGACCCCCCGCUGGACACUCUCUUGCCGGGGGUCUCCUCAUCGUCUUCUCCCGAUGAGGCGGUGGCUGGCACUUCCUCCAAUAGCCCUCCUCCGCUAGAUCUCAGGGCACAUCAGGACCUCCUCAGGCGCGUAGCACAGAAUCUGAGCCUGCAAGCUGAGGAGGUCUCUGAGAUCGAGGACCCCGUCGUCAGCAUCCUCUCCUCCGAUGCUCCCACCAGGGUCGCCCUACCCUUCAUUCGGACGAUCCAGGCCAACGCCAAUACGAUCUGGCAAUCUCCGGCCUCCAUCCCCCCUACUGCACGGGGCGUCGAAAGGAAGUACAUGGCCCCCUCCAAGGGCUAUGAGUACCUCCAUAUUCACCCGACACCAUGCUCCCUGGUGGUACAGUCGGUGAACGAGAGGGAGCGUCACGGACAGGAAGCCCCAGCCCCCAAAUCCAAGGAGGCCAGGCGUAUGGACCUCCUCGGCCGCAAGGUUUAUUCGGCUGGGGCCCUUCAGCUCAGGGUUUCCAAUCAGCAAGCCCUUCUUAGCCGCUACGCCUUUAACUCUUGGGUGGCAGCGGAUAAGUUCAAAGAGCUGCUGCCACAAGAGGCGCGUCAAGAAUUUGCGGCGAUUCUUGACGAGGGCAAGAAGGUUGCACGAACCUCGUUGCAGGCCUCCUUGGACGCUGCAGACUCGGCUGCCCGUACCCUCGCCUCGGGGGUGACGAUGCGCCGCAUCUCCUGGCUUCAGGUUUCUGGCCUUCCACCGGAGCUCCAAUACACCAUCCAGGACCUCCCGUUCGAAGGCCAGGGCCUGUUCUCGGAGAAGACAGACCCCAGACUGAAAAGUCUUAAGGACAAUCGGGUCAUUAUGCGCUCCCUUGGGAUGCACACGCCUGGGACGCAACGCAGACCCUUCCGGCCGCAGCAACAGCAGCAGCGUCGGCCGUACCCCCAGUUCCGCCAGCGGCAGGACCUUAAUAGGCGCCGCGGCAGAAAUGGCAGGCGCAGGCCGUCGGGCAAUCAAGGGGGGCAAAACCAAAGCUCCUCUAAAGCCCCACCUGGACCCAAACCUUCGUUUUGAAGGUGCGCCCGAGGGCGUAAUACCAGUAUCCCCCAUGGAUCCUUCCCCCCCGUUUUCCAACCGCCUUUCGUUUUUCCUCCAGGCGUGGUCCCGAAUAACAUCCGACCGCUGGGUCUUACGCACGGUGCAGACGGGAUACCGUCUGCAGUUUGUAUCUUUUCCUCCCUCCCGCCCCCCACCCUCAUCCCUCUUCAGGGACCCCUCUCACGAGCAAUUCCUCCAACAGGAGGUACAGACGCUCCUCGACAAAGGAGCUAUAGAGGCGGUUCCGGAAAACGAGAGAAGCAAGGGGUUUUAUUCCCACUACUUUCUGAUCCCCAAGGCCAAGGGAGGGCUCAGGC